Molecule: non-coding RNA, 4033 nt
Organism: Peromyscus maniculatus bairdii (prairie deer mouse)
Lineage: Eukaryota; Metazoa; Chordata; Mammalia; Rodentia; Cricetidae
Source: RefSeq, a predicted model, not a curated record
GCGAACCACAGGGGCUUUCUAGGUCCGGGUGAUAACCAGUCUCCUGACACAACAUACGCCACAUCUGAAGCUGGACCACUAAGAAGAGCUGAAGAAAAUUGACGUAGGAGGACCAAAUCGCGAGGGAUCGAACCGAGAUACUGUCAAACCUUUCCUGUGCGCGUCUGCCUAGAGUGGGUGACAAAGAUCAGAACGUCGGCACCCCCAUUUCACAGUCCCCGAGAACCUCUCUAGUCCUUCAGGGAACGUCAGUGCACCUUGGGCUUCUGCUUCUCCGUGCUGCGAACAUCAAAGGAAGCACUUUUACUAGAGAGAGUUCUGGAGGUAUUUUGAACACAAGACUAUUUUAAAUAACCACAAUGCCAAGAUCUCUUCAUGCAUUUUACAGCAGUAUCCCUGGGGAGGGUCAAGGCCCCCAGUAUGUAUGUCACUCCCCAGGAGAACCUCAUGUGUUCCUAGGGUGAGGACCACUUCCCUACAGACCUGAGUGAUGUAGGAAGGAAGAGCAGGCCCAGCCUAGGGUGGACCUGCUUCCUGGACUGGGUCCUUGACCAUGACUUGCAGCUUGCUGAUGUAACCAACGAGACUUUGAGUUACAGACAGGAUUCAGCAGGUACCAGACACCAACGUGGGAGACUGAGGAACCGUGCCCUGUGCAGAACGGGAGUCCCCAGCCCGUCAUCCUACCCGAUACCUCACACUCCUUCACAGGAGCCACAUUUCACUCAGCCUUGACAUGACUCUGAUCAGCCACAAUAUUUGCCCAUGGCAUGGCCAAGAUAGCUCAGGGCAAGGCUAGGUGGUGCUGGUGUAGUCUGGUCAUAAUGGCCUGUGAUGGUACGGGUUACUCAGCUCGCGUUCGGUGGGCAUGUCAAUGACUAUCAUAAUCCACAGAGAUCACUCAUGGGGUUGUCUGAUAACUAGGCUGCUGAAGCAGGUUAAACUUUCUCCGUGUCUUUAUGGGGGGGGGGGGGACGCGGUUUGGAGAUCUUAAUAACAUGUUCUCAGAGAUCAAUUUUGAAAUCUAUUUGUCCCUUUUUCAAUCUCACAAGGUAGACAAAAUCAGAAUCCUGCCUCUCAUUUCUACAAAAAACAGGAAAGCUGGCAGGUAGCUUUCAGAUGAGAUGAGACCCUCCUGGACCCCGAGACCACCCCUGAGGUCUGAGUGACACCCUGAUUUCUGCUGGUUUCCACUGGUGCUGGGGCAGCCUCUGGGACCAGACAUAGUGUCUGUGUAGAGUGGAAGUAAUGACUGCACAUUUCUAAUGAAAAUGAUCCCAUCUAUGGCAGCGGACUUUCCCGGAAUUCAUGGUGUAGACUGAUUGGAUCGGCGAGAAUGGAUCAUGAGAGGAGAUUCAGCCCUUCACGCCUUCUUCCCACAAAUUUACAAUGAUUUCCUCCAGGAAAUUCCGUCCAGUUCUGUGCUGGAUGCUAGGGAGAUGCAGACAGGCAUGUGACUCCUGCUCACCAGAAAUGGAACCGGAACUGCCCAGCAGAUGAGACCAACCCAGAAGGAGCUACCCAGAGGCACCACAGUGAGGACUCGGUCCAGCCCAUUCACAAGUGAGCAGCAUCAACCACAGAAUCCUGGAGAAUGGGGUGAUGCUCUACCUGGGAGCCAGAGGAGGCUCUUCCCCCUUCCUUCCUUCCUUCCUUCCUUCCUUCCUUCCUUCCUUCCUUCCUUCCUCCCUCCCUCCCUCCCUCCCUCCCUCCCUCCCUCUCUCUCUUCCUCCCUCCCUCCAUUCCUAUAAACAUUUCCUCAGAACCACCACAGAAAAUCUCUUAACUAGGUUGCCAUUUCUUUGAUACUAAAGAGGCAGGAAGUUAAAUUCAUCGGGUAGCACUAACACAAGAGAAAACAAACCAGCUGUUUGGCUAAAUGUCCCACCUCCCACCCAGCUGUGCUGAUGAGCCCUCGGCUUCUCAAGCUACCGUCCACCUCUGCCUGCUUUGGGCCCAUGGACGUGGUGAAAACGCUGAGCAGUCCCCUGUGAACGUCAGCCUAGGCGUCGGAUAUUUACUUGAGUUUUUGUCCGGAAGCCGAUCUAUCUUCCACACCACUGCCCGGUAGGCGCUCUCGUAUUUCGCUGACCCCACAGUGACCUGAAUGACAGGUUCGGAUUCAGGUUCCUGUAAACUCCCCAGACAUGCCCGACGGUUCAUUUUGGCUUUCAGAGACUUCUGCCUCUGAAGGUUCCUGGUCCAGAGGGCCUUGAUCCAUUGGGCUGGGACAGGAAAGUGAAUCAUGAUAUUGUCACAGCACCUUGAGGAACUGGCAAGGGGUGACUUCUGAGCCCCCGGGGUCAUGUUGACAAAGGCCUGAAGUUCCACAUACGCCCCCUGGACAGCCACUAUGGACUUCACAGAAAAGGGAAGCUCAUCCCCUUCGUACGAGGUUUUGAAACGCAUCAGCUCAAACCGGCAAGCAUCCAGAGGUAUGAACUUAAUGAUUCUGGACUGUUCGAAUUCCUCAGCUUUCACACAUGUAUGGAAAUGGUAGUUAAGAAUAUCAAUCCCCCUUUUUUCUGGUUCUUUCUCAAAAUAGCAUUCAUCUCGUUUCUGGAGUUCAAGGUCAUUCAAGGUUAAAAAACAUUCCGCCGUCCCAUUCACAAAGCAGAGGCAGCAGAUUUGAGUUAUCACAGCACUUUCAACCAAUUUCCCAUCUUCUUUGGUGACUUUACCCCAAAAAUUGUCCACGAUGUCCAGGUAAAUUUCUUGUUCCUCGUAGUUCUUCCUUGGUUUCGAAACAGCGGGCAGCUUUACCAGCUCCUCCUCCACAGUGGUCAGGAACUCCAGGAAGUCACCAUGCUCCGUGGACCCCAACUUCAGCAUCUGCUCUACGUCAGGCUCGUGAACCACCUCCGUCUUGGAAUGGUAUUUCCUUUUCUCUGAGUAAGACACAUGCUCCACCUUCACAGUGUGGAUUUUCCCGGCCAUGCUGAAGUUCUCGAGUUUGGGUUCAGAAAGUCUGCAAUGUGGAUCGAGCUGGAACUCUUUGAACGGCUUUUCCAGCCCCUUCUCAUAAUACAUCUGCAGAAUCCCUCCUGACAGAACCUUCAGGAAAAUGGGUCCCCACUGCCUGGAAGACAUCAUGUUCUUCUUCUCGGGAAUCCUCAGCAUGAAGGACCAUCCAGCUUUGGGCUGACUCCGGAAGAGCGUGUUGGGGACAAAAGAAGAGGCGGGGUCUCCAGCACAGGGACUCUGCGUAGACGCGUUUCCAAGAGGGUCUUGGGUCUCAGCUGACUGCAGGUGCUCAAGCCUCUCACAGACGUAGCUAAGUGAGCACUGGUUUAGGCUUUUUUGAUCAAUGGGUACUUCCUUGUCCCUCGAUGAGAACGGCUUUCUGCUAGCCGGGGAGUCAAGGGAGAGCUGAGAACUGCUACCUUCAUCUUUCCAAAAUGGGUUGGAGAAAGAACAAUCCUCUCGAAAAUACUCGAACUGCAGAGCCUCGCUUCGGGCCCCCUGAGGGCUGGCGUCAUCUUCAAGACCAGCUUUGGGAGUCAGUGGGGUGCAUGAGGGGUCACUGGGUAAUGAUGCAUGGGGUAAGCAGGUUGGCUUAGUAAGCGAUAACGGAGGACCCGCUGUUGAGUGGGGGCUGCUUGAAGAACAUUCUGGAAUAGGAUAAAGCACGUGAGUCCCUGGUUUAGGGAUGCCGGGGAACCCCGGGAAGUCUUUGGUGGGUGUAGAGAGAGGAGAGUUGCUUGGAGGUCCUGGACUGAAGUAAAAGUCGACCAUGGGAGAGGAUAGUGGGGUGCUGCUGGUGGAGGAGGAAGCGCUAGGGAGGUCCCUGAGGCCGGGCAGGCUCAGCUUCAGUCCAUUUGGUCUGCAAACACCUUGGGUCUCCAGAGGGAAAUCCUUCGCCUUCGCCUGAGAAGACGGAAAAGCGGGGUCAUCAUCGAAGGUGACCCAGCUGCCUGGGUUUGUAGAACACAUCUUCAGGGUGGGCUUGUGGAAUGGUCAAAUAGUCAGGGACAUUGUCUCUGUAAAGGAGAAAGACAGGUUAAAGGUUAAAAAUAAAGGUUAAAAACCAAGA